UACGUAGGGUGCGAGCGUUGUCCGGAAUUAUUGGGCGUAAAGGGCUCGUAGGCGGUUUGUCGCGUCGGGAGUGAAAACUCAGGGCUUAACCCUGAGCCUGCUUCCGAUACGGGCAGACUGGAGGUAUGCAGGGGAGAACGGAAUUCCUGGUGUAGCGGUGAAAUGCGCAGAUAUCAGGAGGAACACCGGUGGCGAAGGCGGUUCUCUGGGCAUGUCCUGACGCUGAGGAGCGAAAGUGUGGGGAGCGAACAGG
Molecule: ribosomal RNA, 253 nt
Filed under: uncultured bacterium
Lineage: Bacteria
Description: partial 16S ribosomal RNA
Rfam family: Bacterial small subunit ribosomal RNA
Source: RNAcentral